RNAcentral lists this long non-coding RNA (954 nucleotides) under Salvia miltiorrhiza (redroot sage). RNAcentral's name for it is "long non-coding RNA (SMIL_LNC006718)". Lineage: Eukaryota; Viridiplantae; Streptophyta; Magnoliopsida; Lamiales; Lamiaceae. The record is from RNAcentral.
GGUUGUAUAAAUCAACAAGUUGAAAAGGUUGUAUAAAUCAACAAGGAUGAAAGGAUGAAUUUGUGUGGAUGUUCUUAGAUCUACAUGCGAAAGAAAAUAAAGAUGUUCAUAGAUCUACAAAAAUCAAAUGCGAAAAACAGACUGCGAACAAGAGCAAAGAUGUUCAUAGAUCUACUGAAUCAGAUGCCAAAAAAUAGUGCUGAAAUCAGAUCUGCGAAAAACAUUUUUUUUGUUUAUAGAUUUUUCAAAAAAUCAGAUGACCAAAACAGAUAGACAAAAAUUAAAUGCCCAAAAUAUCUUACUGUAUUAAACAAGCUGUUGUUUCAGAAUUUGUGGCUAAAUGAAAAAAAUAAUCCAUUCAGCAAGAAAAAAUAUACAUGGAGAUCGCAAGAAUUAAAGAUGCAGUCGAGGGAGGAGGCCGAGAUCUGGAGGCUAGGGCUGGGCGACGCCGUAGUUUGAAACUCGGACGGCGGCGGCUGGAUACGGGCUGAGCAGAGGGAGGCAGCGGCUCAUUUAUCGUCGUCGAGGAGAGAGGCGACACCGCGUUGAGCGUCGUCUAGAUAUGAGGCCGGAGUUGGUAGUUUAGGGAUCUAAGGGUUUUGGACCGCGGCUUUACCGUGAUUCGGUUGCAGGUUUUUCUCCGGCAGAGGGAGAGAGAAGACAAUAGAGAGUACGCUUGAGCUUCUCGCAGGCGGCGGCGGCGGCGAAAAGUGGAAGAAAGUCGGCAGAGGGAGAGAGAAGACAAGGGAGAGCACGUAUGAGCUUCUCACCGGCAGCGGCGAAAGGUGGAAGAAAGUGGAAGGUUUAGACUGGGAGAAGAAAUGAGCGAGAAGAAGCGGCGCUGAACCCUAAAAUUAGAUGAGCUGAGUAUUUAAGCUGUAUUUUAGGGCUGAAAAGUGUAGAUGGACUGUAUUUAAUUUAUUGGGCUGUAUUAGUAAAUACGGUAAAUCUGAA